UGGGUAACCUGCCUCAAAGAGGGGAAUAGCCUCCCGAAAGGGAGAUUAAUACCGCAUAAUAUGUUUAAGUCGCAUGACUUUAACAUCAAAGGAUUUUCUUUUAGAAAUUCCACUUUGAGAUGGACCCCGCGGCGCAUUAGCUAGUUGGUGAGGUAACGGCUCACCAAGGCAACGAUGCGUAGCCGACCUGAGG
This 193-nucleotide ribosomal RNA is filed under the name uncultured bacterium. RNAcentral describes it as "partial 16S ribosomal RNA". It matches the Rfam family "Bacterial small subunit ribosomal RNA", at positions 118 to 297 of the family's 1533-position model. The record is from RNAcentral.